GAUUAACGCUGGCGGCGUGCCUAACACAUGCAAGUCGAACGAGGUAGCAAUACCUAGUGGCAGACGGGUGAGUAACGCGUGGUCAACCUACCGUUGAGUGGGGGAUAACUAGCCGAAGGUUAGCUAAUACCGCAUACGUCUCCGAGGGGCAUCCCUUGGCGAUAAAAGGAGCAAUCCGCUCGAUGACGGGACCGCGUCCCAUUAGCUAGAUGGUGGGGUAACGGCCUACCAUGGCACCGAUGGGUAGCUGGUUUGAGAGAGCGACCAGCCACACUGGGGACUGAGAAACGGCCCAGACUCCUACGGGAGGCAGCAGUGAGGAAUUUUCCGCAAUGGGGCGCAAGCCUGACGGAGCGACGCCGCGUGUGGGAAG
Molecule: ribosomal RNA, 373 nt
Filed under: uncultured bacterium
Lineage: Bacteria
Description: bacterial SSU rRNA
Rfam family: Bacterial small subunit ribosomal RNA
Source: RNAcentral